Molecule: ribosomal RNA, 276 nt
Filed under: uncultured prokaryote
Description: partial 16S ribosomal RNA
Rfam family: Bacterial small subunit ribosomal RNA
Source: RNAcentral
UACGUAGGGGGCUAGCGUUAUCCGGAAUUACUGGGCGUAAAGAGCACGUAGGCGGGAACUUAAGUCAGGUGUGAAAGACCGUGGCUCAACCACGGGUAUGCAUUUGAAACUGGGUUUCUUGAGGGCAGGAGAGGAAAGCAGAAUUCCUGGUGUAGCGGUGAAAUGCGUAGAAAUCAGGAGGAAUACAGUGGCGAAGGCGGCUUUCUGGACUGACCCUGACGCUGAGGUGCGAAAGCGUGGGUAGCGAACAGGAUUAGAUACCCUGGUAGUCCCUGA